GCGAUUGGAUGAGCCCAUGUCGGAUUAGCUAGUUGGCGGGGUAAAGGCCCACCAAGGCGACGAUCCGUAGCUGGUCUGAGAGGAUGAUCAGCCACACUGGGACUGAGACACGGCCCAGACUCCUACGGGAGGCAGCAGUGGGGAAUAUUGGACAAUGGGCGAAAGCCUGAUCCAGCCAUGCCGCGUGUGUGAAGAAGGCCUUUUGGUUGUAAAGCACUUUAAGCAGUGAAGAAGA
RNAcentral lists this ribosomal RNA (235 nucleotides) under Skeletonema menzelii. Its description in RNAcentral is "partial Bacterial small subunit ribosomal RNA". It matches the Rfam family "Bacterial small subunit ribosomal RNA", at positions 217 to 451 of the family's 1533-position model. The record is from RNAcentral. Lineage: Eukaryota; Bacillariophyta; Thalassiosirophyceae; Thalassiosirales; Thalassiosiraceae.